UGGGGGCGGAAUAGAUAUGGAGGCCAUUAUCGAAUGGGAAACAAAGAGCAAUGCUAAGGACAUUAGGAGAAAGGGACUGAAAGGCCUCAGAGGUAUCCAUGUGAUAGCAAGAAAGAGAUGGGGAAACAGGUGGGUGUGUUACCUCACUAACAAAGCCCCACACAAGGAGAGGCUCCAAUCAGGGAUUUCGGGGUAGAUGUCCAAUCGAUGGGGUGUUGAGAUCUGGCAGCUUCCAAGCCUGAGAGGGAGCGUACAAGGAAGAAGGAGGGCAUGGGGCAUUCCAAAAAGAUAAGUGGGGGAA
Molecule: long non-coding RNA, 301 nt
Filed under: Elaeis guineensis (African oil palm)
Lineage: Eukaryota; Viridiplantae; Streptophyta; Magnoliopsida; Arecales; Arecaceae
Description: long non-coding RNA (EGUI_LNC008058)
Source: RNAcentral